AUCAAAGAUUGUAGGAUCUGAAGUUAGAAGUCUUGUGUUGUUCGAAGCAGAGAUAGAAGGUGUUUCAAGAGGUGUUUAAACGGAGAAUUGUUUUAUUGAGUUAGUCGCAAAUCUCCAAGAUUUGGGGGUUUGCUAGUCGAUUUUUUUUAGAGUAGCCAUAUGGUAUACGAGUAGCCAACGAGAGCUAACUCUAUUAUGUUUUCUACAUAGCUGUGUAUGCUACUGAAACGUUGCAAAUAACGUUAGUUGCGAGGUUGGGUCGUCUCAUGAUGUCAGCCAUCCAGAGCUGCAUUUCCAUCUAAACAUAGACAGCCAUUCAGCUCCAGGGAUGACUGACUCAAUAAGAAGGGGGUGGCGGUUGAUCAGAUGCCCUACUCCACAAGAAGGCAUAGCUGAGGCCCAAGUUCCACAUACCCUACAUCAUGGAGAUGGAAAAAACAUGGAGGUCAGCUGGCCUUGAGGAGAAAAGUUUCCCAGCAGGGAGACUGUGAGAGGCAUGAGCAGGAGCGUCCCCAUGGGUCUUGUACGAGAGGAGAUGGAUAAGAGGAAUCAGACUCAGCUGGCCUGGAGCUCAGGGCCAGACACGUCACCUCGAGACGCGGCCGGGGCAAAGUUCUGAUGUGUGAAAUCACCCGCAGGCUCGUGCUGGGUGUUCCUUCCAUGUCGUCGGCCUCAAAGUUGGAUUAAAGAGGAAAUUGAAGGGGAAGGCAGAAAGCUGCUGGAGCACACGAGACGAGAGGAGAGAGGA
Molecule: long non-coding RNA, 748 nt
Organism: Alosa sapidissima (American shad)
Lineage: Eukaryota; Metazoa; Chordata; Actinopteri; Clupeiformes; Clupeidae
Exons: 7
Source: RefSeq, a predicted model, not a curated record